UUAUAUGAGAGUUUGAUCCUGGCUCAGGAUGAACGCCGGCGGUGUGCCUAAUACAUGCAAGUCGAACGCGUUGGCCCAAUUGAUUGAUGGUGCUUGCACCUGAUUGAUUUUGGUUGCCAACGAGUGGCGGACGGGUGAGUAACA
This 144-nucleotide ribosomal RNA is filed under the name Limosilactobacillus fermentum. RNAcentral's name for it is "partial 16S ribosomal RNA". It matches the Rfam family "Bacterial small subunit ribosomal RNA", at positions 1 to 115 of the family's 1533-position model. The record is from RNAcentral. Lineage: Bacteria; Bacillati; Bacillota; Bacilli; Lactobacillales; Lactobacillaceae.